This 124-nucleotide non-coding RNA is filed under the name Pseudomonas knackmussii B13. The record is from RNAcentral. Lineage: Bacteria; Pseudomonadati; Pseudomonadota; Gammaproteobacteria; Pseudomonadales; Pseudomonadaceae.
UCUGAGAUGGCGCAGGACGCGCCAUCCGCGCAAACGCGCCGCCCGGGCAGCGGUUGCGGACGGGGCAACGUGGAGCCCCGCGGCAGACCGUGGCGACCAGGGACGGCCGCCUCGGAGUGCACUU